CUCCAAGAGAACUGUACAAUAUACCUCCUCAUUUUAUUACAUACUACGAUGUUUUCUUUUUUUAUUACAAUGGUUUGCAAUAUAGUUUAGCUGCAUUUUCUUUUCUUUUUUUCAAUUUCUUGUGCUGAAAACGAAAUAAUUUCUAGUAUGGGAAUCUAACUUCAUUUUUAGUUGCUCAGAUCAUUUGCAUUAUUUUUUUCCUUUUAUUCAAUUUUAAAGACUAAUAAAGGUUAGACAAGCGAGAAUCCGAAAGGCUGAUACUCCAUUCUAUCAUUUUACAUUAUGUAUAAAAGGAGAUUGGAGUGUCAGAAGAUUAUUUUGGAGUGUCCAUUAUUAAUCUUCACAGCAAAAACUGCAAACUGAUCAAAAUAGAUUUUACACAGCAUACCUCUCCACCCAAGAAACGAAUACCCAUAACAAGCAUUGGUAACAUCGCAAGACUCCGAAAAAAACAAGCAUCUUCUGUUGUGACAAGAGAGCCACUACUCCAGAAAGCUAAAAUCCCACAAACCAAAUAAGCAUCUUCUACUGUUGAGUGAAAUUUUUUUAAAAAAAAAAAAAAAAUUGACU
Molecule: long non-coding RNA, 570 nt
Filed under: Coffea arabica (coffee)
Lineage: Eukaryota; Viridiplantae; Streptophyta; Magnoliopsida; Gentianales; Rubiaceae
Description: long non-coding RNA (CARA_LNC004639)
Source: RNAcentral